Molecule: RNase P RNA, 443 nt
Filed under: Salipiger sp. 1_MG-2023
Lineage: Bacteria; Pseudomonadati; Pseudomonadota; Alphaproteobacteria; Rhodobacterales; Roseobacteraceae
Description: RNase P RNA component class A
Rfam family: Bacterial RNase P class A
About the family: Ribonuclease P (RNase P) is a ubiquitous endoribonuclease, found in archaea, bacteria and eukarya as well as chloroplasts and mitochondria.
Source: RNAcentral
GUGGAGGGCCGGGCGGCCGCCGCCGAUCGCAGGAUCGGGGGAGGAAAGUCCGGACUCACUGAAGCAUCGGUGCCGGGUAACGCCCGGGCAGGGCAACCUGACGGAAAGCGCCACAGAAAACAGACCGCCGUCGCACCGGAGGUGCGCCAAGGGUUCGCCCGAGGCCAAACGAAGGGCACUGCGACGGUAAGGGUGAAACGGUGGGGUAAGAGCCCACCGCGCCCCCGGCAACGGGGGUGGCAUGGCAAGCCCCACCGGGAGCAACGCCAAAUAGGGACGUCGCGCGGGGCAUGAUCCUUUCGGGGAUAUCGCCGCAGGGCAGCUUUGGCCCGAGACGUCCGGGUUGGCAGCUAGAGCGCGCGGGCAAUCGUGCGCCUAGAGGAAUGGUCGCCGAACGGGGGCAACCCCGGGAACAGAAUCCGGCUUACAGGCCCUCCACGCAU